RNAcentral lists this ribosomal RNA (451 nucleotides) under uncultured bacterium. RNAcentral describes it as "partial 16S ribosomal RNA". It matches the Rfam family "Bacterial small subunit ribosomal RNA", at positions 354 to 796 of the family's 1533-position model. The record is from RNAcentral.
GUGGGGAAUAUUGGACAAUGGGGGGAACCCUGAUCCAGCCAUGCCGCGUGUGUGAAGAAGGCCUUUUGGUUGUAAAGCACUUUAAGCGAGGAGGAGGCUACCGAGAUUAAUACUCUUGGAUAGUGGACGUUACUCGCAGAAUAAGCACCGGCUAACUCUGUGCCAGCAGCCGCGGUAAUACAGAGGGUGCAAGCGUUAAUCGGAUUUACUGGGCGUAAAGCGCGCGUAGGUGGCCAAUUAAGUCAAAUGUGAAAUCCCCGAGCUUAACUUGGGAAUUGCAUUCGAUACUGGUUGGCUAGAGUAUGAGAGAGGAUGGUAGAAUUCCAGGUGUAGCGGUGAAAUGCGUAGAGAUCUGGAGGAAUACCGAUGGCGAAGGCAGCCAUCUGGCCUAAUACUGACACUGAGGUGCGAAAGCAUGGGGAGCAAACAGGAUUAGAAACCCGAGUAGUCC